This 253-nucleotide ribosomal RNA is filed under the name uncultured bacterium. RNAcentral describes it as "partial 16S ribosomal RNA". It matches the Rfam family "Bacterial small subunit ribosomal RNA", at positions 524 to 776 of the family's 1533-position model. The record is from RNAcentral.
UACGGAGGGUGCGAGCGUUGUCCGGAAUCACUGGGCGUAAAGGGCGCGUAGGCGGCUUGGUAAGUAGGGGGUGAAAUCCUGCGGCUUAACCGCAGGGCUGCCUUCUAAACUGCCAGGCUUGAGCACAGUAGAGGCAGGUGGAAUUCCCGGUGUAGCGGUGGAAUGCGUAGAGAUCGGGAAGAACAUCGGUGGCGAAGGCGGCCUGCUGGGCUGUUGCUGACGCUGAGGCGCGAAAGCGUGGGGAGCAAACAGG